This 492-nucleotide ribosomal RNA is filed under the name uncultured bacterium. RNAcentral describes it as "bacterial SSU rRNA". It matches the Rfam family "Bacterial small subunit ribosomal RNA", at positions 32 to 496 of the family's 1533-position model. The record is from RNAcentral.
AAUCAACGCUGGCGGCGUGCCUAACACAUGCAAGUCGAACGCGAAAAUGGAGCAAUCCAUGAGUAGAGUGGCAAACGGGUGAGUAACACGUGGGUGACCUGCCCGUUCGAGUGGGGGAUAACGUCCCGAAAGGGACGCUAAUACCGCAUAAUAUGCUGUCUUUUAAGAGAGAGACAUCAAAGCCGGGGACCGCAAGGCCUGGCGCUUGAAGAGGGGCCCGCGCCUGAUUAGCUAGUUGGUGGGGUAAUGGCUCACCAAGGCAACGAUCAGUAUCCGGCCUGAGAGGGCGGACGGACACACUGGGACUGAGACACGGCCCAGACUCCUACGGGAGGCAGCAGUGGGGAAUUGUUCGCAAUGGGCGCAAGCCUGACGACGCAACGCCGCGUGGAGGAUGAAGAUCUUCGGGUCGUAAACUCCUUUCGAUCGAGACGAAUGGCCCUUGGGAUAAUACCCUGAGGGAGUGACGGGUACCGAGAGAAGAAGCCCCGG